RNAcentral lists this ribosomal RNA (211 nucleotides) under uncultured bacterium. RNAcentral's name for it is "partial 16S ribosomal RNA". It matches the Rfam family "Bacterial small subunit ribosomal RNA", at positions 524 to 734 of the family's 1533-position model. The record is from RNAcentral.
UACGUAGGGUGCAAGCGUUGUCCGGAAUUAUUGGGCGUAAAGAGCUCGUAGGCGGUUUGUUGCGUCGGCUGUGAAAUCCCGAGGCUCAACCUCGGGUCUGCAGUCGAUACGAGCAAACUAGAGUGUUGCAGGGGAGACUGGAAUUCCUGGUGUAGCGGUGAAAUGCGCAGAUAUCAGGAGGAACACCGGUGGCGAAGGCGGGUCUCUGGGC